ACCCUGUUCCCAGACCCGGGUGGUGGUCUGGGGGGUUGGAAGGGGCGGGAAGGGCGCUGUCUUAAGAAUCAUCCUCACAUCUCAGGGCUUCGCCCCUCGAGGGAGGUGACCCUUGGCCACCCUCUGCGCAGUUCUCCCUGAAAGGUCAUGCCACGUCUUAGCACUCUGGUCCCUGCGCCCCUGCAGGCCUCGCGGAUCCCCCACUUGUCUCGACGCAGGGGACGCCCACUUGUCUGACGCAGGGGACGUGGCUGAAGUCAGUCGGGCCGCCCGCUUGCUGCACGGCAGCCGUGGGACUGGCACAGGCUCCUCGGCAGCAUUAUGGGCAGCUGGUAGAGCGGCCACUUCUGAGAGCCGGAUGGGCCUUCCGAGGUCGGGCCGUGCCCCGCUGGGCAGCGCAGAGGGGGUGUGUAGGGCACGCGACUUGGAGCCAGGUCCAGACCCAUCCUGGCUCCUCUCAGGGCUCCUUCCCCUGCCCCCAUUCCACCCCAGCCCUGCUGGCUGUCCCGCAGGACCCAGCGCCGCGGUAGCCUUCUCUGAACUGCGGCUCAGGCGGAGGUGUCACUCCUGCCUCCAGCCCAGGAGGGCAGGUCAGGUUAUGCAACGCGUGCCGCGCGAUCUCCCCCCACCUCCAACCCCCUUUUCUCCCGGGUCCACACCGCAGUUCCCACCGCUCCGGGUGUCCUCCCCAGUGCGCCGCGAUUUUUGUGUCCAAGCCCCAGAGUCCCUCUGAGACCAACCCCCAGCCAGCACAGACUUCCUGCCUUCCCAGCUCGGAAGCGCCCUCGAGAAGUGUCUAAAGGAGACAGUUGAUAGCCAAACAACAGUUUUGGAUUCACUGACUGAUUAUGAAAGAAGCAGUAGACUGGUAUCAAGAAUCAGUCAGCAAGGAGGCCCUCACCAGACGCCAGUGCCAUGUUCUUGGACUUCUCAGCCUCCAUAUUCAUGAACUAAGUUUUUGGAAUCCUUAGGCUUCCACGUGUGGAAAGCCUGAGCUAACCUACUGGAGGAUGAGCCAUCACCUGGAGCAGAUUCAGGCCAUCCUAGUUGAAGCCUCCCUAGGCCAAGCAACCGUCCAACUACCAGACAUUGACCAUUCAGCCUUGAACAUUCAGCACAAAGACAAAACAGACCAGACCAGAAGAGUCCCACAGAAUAGGGGAAACUAUUCAGAGAAAACUUAAGCCACUAAGUUUUAUGGUGUUUUGUUCUGUAGCAGAAGCAUAGGCAUACUGACAAUACAAACCGAAAUCCUUCUAACGUAGUGGACCUUUUCAGGCCAGCAUUUUUUCCUUGAAAACCUGGAGCAUGUAUCCAUCUUAUAGCAGAGAUCACUUUCACAAUGUUUGGGCUCUUGAUUUGAAUUGAUGAUGUAAUGAGCCCUCUAUCCAGAUUGUAACUAAUUACUCUGCGAAUUGACUGGAUUCCACACCCUUCUAAUAUUUUACUUUUCCUCUUUUAUCAACUCUCAUUCUUGCUGCCAUGAUCAAUGGACCAACUAUGCUUAUAACCACAAAUUUUGAUAUGCUUAAACAAAUGAACAAAUAUAUUUAAUAAUUUCUUUUUUUUUUUUGAAAUAGUAUCUUGCUCUGUCACCCAGGCUGCAGUGCAGCAGCGUGAUCUCAGCUCACUAUAACCUCCACCUCCCGGGUUCAAGUGAUUCUCCUGCCUCAGCCUCCCAAGUAGCUGGGACUACAGGCGCCCACCACCAUACCUGGCUAAUUUUUUGUAUUUUUAGUAGAGACAGGGUUUAUCCAUGUUGGCCAGGCUGGUCUCAAACUCCUGACCUCAAGUGAUCCUCCUGCCUCGGCCUCCCAAAGUGCUGGGAUUACAGGUGUGAGCCACCAUGCCCAGCCAAUAAUUUCCUGAUAUAAUAAAAAUGCCAAUACUAUACAAUUAAAUAGUAAAGUGAUAAAAAAUAGGAUAACAUGAUAACCACUAAUUAAUAUAUACUACAUAAUCAUCCUUUUCGUGAGUUGAAAUGUUCUUUUAGCACACUUUAUGGUUUAUCCUUUCUGGAAUACUAUUAUAUGAUCAUGAUUUUUCUCACACUUGUUCCAGUGAAAUAUACUUUUAGGUGUUUCCUUUGUAUUGUUCAAACUGUAAUAUCUCCAGUGGAAGAUUUUUUAAGCUUGUUCUUGUCUUGUCAGUGUCACCCACAUAGUCAUAGUCUGAAAGCAUUUUGCUUUCUGGAAAUAAGAUAUUAUAGGCACCAAGUUAUGGAAUUAUCUACUUUUCACCAAGCCUUCAUUCUUUCAGUGCUGUAUUAGAGACCUCAUUUAGGGUUCUAAGGGUGCAUAUCAAAUUGUUCCAUGAGUCUAAAAUGGAUAAUUCUUCUGUGGGCCAUUUUUAGUGCUAGAGCUAGAAAAGUUAUACUUUUAAAAGGUAAAUAGCUCACAAUGAUUUUGCAAUAUAAUUCCCACUUUACCCAAUUAUUAACUGCUGUUUGAAUAUAAAAAUAUUUUUAAACUUUUUUAUUUACAACAUAUCUAUUUAAAUUCAAUACAGCAUUCCCAAAUAAAUAUAGCAGAAGUGGGAGUUUCAAGUUACUAAACAUGUCAGUCACAAUUUAUGGAGCCGAUUGAAAGAUGGAGAAAUAUUACUGUAUUAGUUUCUUCUCACAUUGCUAUAAAGAAAUAUCUAAGACUGGGUAAUUUAAGAAGGAAAGAGGUUUAAUUGGAUCAUGGUUCCACAGGCCAUACAGAAAGCAUGAUGCUGGCAUUUUCUCAGCUUCUGGGGAGGCCUCAGGAAAUUUACAAUCAUGGAUGGGAAGGGGAGCAAGCACUUCACAUGGCCAGAGCAGAAGGAAGAGAGAGAGGCGGAGGUGCCUCACACUUUAAAACAACCAGAUCUCAUGAGAACUCUAUCUCUAUCAUGAGAACAGCACCAAAAGGGGAAAUCUGCCCCCAUGAUCCAAUCAUCUCCCACCAGGCCCCACCUCCAACACUGGGGAUUGUAAUUGAACAUGAGAUUUGGGUGGGGACACAGAUACAAACCAUAUCAUUCCACUCCUGGCCCCACUCAAAUCUCAAGUCCUUCUCACAUUGAGAAAUACAAUCAUGCCUUCCCAACAGUUGCUCAAAGUGUUAACUCAUUCCAACAUUAACUCAAAAGUCCAAAGUCUCAUCUAAGACAAGACUAGUCUCUUCCAUCCAUAAGUCUGUAAAAUCAAAAAAAAGUAAGUUACUUCCAAGAUACAAUGGGGAUAUAGGCAUUUGGUAAAUAUUCCAACUCCAAAAGGGAGAAAUCAACUAAAAGAAAGGGGCUACAGGCCCCAUAAAAGUCUGAAAUCCAGCAGGGCAGUCAUUAAAUCUUAAAGCUUCAAAAUAAUCUUUGACAUUAUGUCCCACAUCCAGGGCACACUUGUGCAAGGGGUGGGCUCCCAAAUCCUUGGGCAACUCUGCCCCUGUGGCUUUCCAGGGGUCAGCCCCCAUGGCUGCUCUUAAGGGCUGGCAUUGAGUGCUUGCAAUUUUUCCAGGCACAUGGUGGCAAGCUGUCAGUGGCUCUGCCAUUCCAGGGUCUGGAAGAUGGUGGCCUUCUUCUCAACUGCCUAUCUAUUAGGCAGUUCCCCAGUGGGUACUCUAUGUGGGGGCUCCAACCCCACAUUUCCCCUCUGCAUUGCCCUAGUAGAGGUUCUCCAUGAGGGCUCCACCCCUGCAGCAGGCUUUUACCUGGACAUCCAAGUGUUUCCAUACAUCCUCUGAAAUCUAGAUGGAGGCUCCCAAGCCUCAAUUCUUGUACUCUGUGCACCUUCAGGCUUAACACCACAUGGAAGCUGCCAAAGCUUAUGGCUCACACCCUCUGAAGCAGUAGCCGGAGCUGUACCUGGGCCCCUUUUAGCCAUGGCAUUCUCAAAGAAUGUUGAGAGAGAUGGCUGGAGGUGGAGUGGCUGGGAUGCAGGGAGCAGUGUUCUAAGGCUACAUAAGGCAGCAGGGCCCUGGGCCCAGCCAAGGAAACUAUUCUUCCCUCCUAGGACUCUGGACCCGUGAUGGGAGAGGCUGCUGCAAAGGUCUCUGAAAUGCCUUGGAACCCUUUUCUCCAUCGUCUUGUCUAUCAAUAUUUGCCUUCCUUUUAGUUAUGCAAAUUUAUGCAGCCUUCUUGAAUUCCUCCCCAGAAAAUAGGCUUCUCUUUUCUACCACAUGGCUGGGCUGCAAAUUUUCCAAACUUGUACUCUCUGCUUCCCUUUUAAAUAUAAGUUCCAGUUUCAGAUCUUUUCUUUGCUCACACAUAUGAGUAUAUGUUGUUAGAAGAAGCAGCCAGACCACAUCUUGAACAUUUCGCUGCUUAGAAAUUCCUUCUACCAGAUACCCUAAAUCAUCUCUCUCAAAUUUAAAGUUCCACAGAUCCCUAGAGCAAGGGCACAAUGCAGUCAGUUUCUUUACUAAAUCAUAGCAAAAAUGACCUGUGCUCCAGUUCCCAAUAAGAUCCUCAUCUCCAUCUGAUACCUCCUCAGCCUGGACUUCAUUAUCAGCAUUUUGGUCACAAUAAUUUGACAAGUCUCUAGGAAGUUCUAAACUUUCCCUCAUCUUCCUGUCUUUUUCUGAGCCUCCACAUUCUUCCAACUUCUGCCAGUUACCCAAUUCCAAAGAUGCUUCCACAUUUUCAGGUAUCAUUAUAGCAACGCCCCACUCGUCAGUACCAAUUUUCUGUAUUAGUCUGUUCUCACAUUGCUACAAAUACCUGAGACUAGGUAAAUUUAUAAAGAAAAGAGGUUCUGCAGGUUGUAUAGGAAGCAUAAUGGCUUCUGCUUCUAGGAAGGCCUCAGGAAACUUACAGUCAUGGUGGAAGGCAAAGGAGAAGCAAGGAUUUCACAUGGCUGGAGCAAUUACCCAAAGGGAGAAUGCCACCAAAUUCUACAAGUGAUUAGCUUUUAUUUCUAGGAGGCAAAAAACAGGUGGCUUAUGCCUGUAAUCUCAGCACUUUGGGAGGCCAAGGUGGGCAGAUCAAAAGGUUAGGAGAUUGAGAUUUAUGGAGCUUUUUUUGCCUAAACCACUUACCUUCUUAGCAUAGGGACUUUUAAAAAUUCUGAUUAUCAGAAUAUGGCUGAGAGAUGUCAGAACCAUUUUUCUCAAAUAUGAAUUCUUAGCAGGAAUAGAAAUUGCAAUUUUUUAAUUUUUAAUUUUAAGAGGAAUUAGUGCCAGAGAGAACUAUUAAGAAAGGGGUAUAUCCAGUCUAAGGAUUAUUAGGCUCAAGUCCAUGAAUAGGCUCUGGGAAGUUUGUAAACACUUGGAAAUUAUUUGCAAAAUGUGUGUGUGAAUGUGCUUUACCUUAGAGAGUUCAUGAAUUUCAUUAGAUUGUUGAAAGAGUUUUAGUAUUAACAAAGGAAAAACAAACCACCACCAUCACAUAACAAAACCACAACAGUGAUUUAAUCUUUUCACCUAACAAUAAGUAAAUUGAGGCUCUGAUGGCUAAAUUAAUAGCCUGAGGCUACACAGUCAGUGGCAGAGCCCAGGGUAAAGAGAGAACCAGCACAGCCAUUGUGGGAGCCGAGGGUAAAGAGAGAGCUAGGUGUUGUACUUAGUAAAUAAAUCAGAAAUUCCUAACUCUUAGGCUGGAGUUCUUCCUGUUAUGUGAAGCCAAAGUAGGGAAUCAUUAGGUCCAAGAAUAGGAAUUACAUUUAUAUUUUAAUGAAAAGGUGCAGUAAAAUUUAAAGGAAGAGAGAGGGUUGCAGAUGACAGAAUACAAAGAAUGUUGAGAGAGAUGAAGCAAGAUGAGUCCAUAGAAUCAGAGGCUUAGAAGUAAUUCCUAUUUAUGAAAGGGAGUGAGAACAAUGUGGUGAGGUGUAUAGAGCUAUGUGAAAGUGCUUGUCAAUAACAUGGCUGCAGAAUGCUGAUGGUGGUAAUUGAAAAGGAAGUAAAAUAUAAAAACAUUUGCAGAAUAUUUCUUUUUUUUUUUCUCUUUUUCUUUUCUUUCUUUUUUUUUUUUUUUUGAGGCAGAGUCUCGCUCUGUCGCCCAGGCUGGAGUGCAAUGGCGCUAUCGUGGCUCAUUGCAAGCUCC
This 6000-nucleotide long non-coding RNA is filed under the name Homo sapiens (human). RNAcentral's name for it is "non-protein coding LINC00941:10". Lineage: Eukaryota; Metazoa; Chordata; Mammalia; Primates; Hominidae. The record is from RNAcentral.